RNAcentral lists this ribosomal RNA (247 nucleotides) under uncultured bacterium. RNAcentral's name for it is "partial 16S ribosomal RNA". It matches the Rfam family "Bacterial small subunit ribosomal RNA", at positions 523 to 769 of the family's 1533-position model. The record is from RNAcentral.
AUACGUAGGGGGCAAGCGUUAUCCGGAAUUAUUGGGCGUAAAGAGUACGUAGGCGGUUUCUUAAGCGUGGGGUGAAAGGCUAUGGCUUAACCAUAGUAAGCCUUGCGAACUGAGAGAACUUGAGUGCAGGAGAGGAAAGCGGAAUUCCUAGUAUAGCGGUGAAAUGCGUAGAUAUUAGGAGGAACACCGGUAGCGAAGGCGGCUUUCUGGACUGUAACUGACACUGAGGCACGAAAGCGUGGGGAGC